CGGGGUGGAGUAACGCGUGGGUGACCUGCCCCAUACCGGGGGAUAACAGCUGGAAACGGCUGCUAAUACCGCAUAAGCGCACAGAGCUGCAUGGCUCAGUGUGAAAAACUCCGGUGGUAUGGGAUGGGCCCGCGUCUGAUUAGGCAGUUGGCGGGGUAACGGCCCACCAAACCGACGAUCAGUAGCCGGCCUGAGAGGGCGACCGGCCACAUUGGGACUGAGACACGGCCCAA
This 233-nucleotide ribosomal RNA is filed under the name uncultured bacterium. RNAcentral describes it as "partial 16S ribosomal RNA". It matches the Rfam family "Bacterial small subunit ribosomal RNA", at positions 104 to 334 of the family's 1533-position model. The record is from RNAcentral.